UCGAAAGAGUGAGUAAUACCUCAUAAGACUACAGCAUCGCAUGGUGCAGUGGUAAAAGGUUGGGAUCUUCGGACCUUCCGCCCAGGGAUGAGAUCGCGUCCUAUUGGCUUGUUGGUGAGGUAACGGCUCACCAAGCAGCGAUGGGUAGCCGGCCUUACGGGUGGACGGCCACACUGGAACUGAGACACGGUCCAGACUCCUACGGGAGGCUGCAGUGCUGAAUUAUUCGCCAAUGCGCGAAAGCGUGACGGUGCGACGCCGCGUGCGGGACGAAGGCCUUAGGGUCGUAAACCGCUGUCAGGGCUUCGGAAACCGUAGAGGUUAAUAGCCUCUGCGCUGACCAGGCCCAAAGGAAGCACAGGCUAAUCUCGUGCCAGCAGCCGCGGUAAUACGAGAUGUGCGAGCGUUGUUCGGAAUUACUGGGCAUAAAGGGUGCGCAGGCGGCCAUGUAAGUCAGGUGUGAAAUCCCUCGGCUCAACCGGGGAAUUGCAUCUGAUACUGCAUGGCUUGAGAACGAAAGGGGCAAGCGGAAUUCCAGGUGUAGCGGUGGAAUGCGUAGAUAUCUGGGAGAACGCCAAUGGCGAAGGCAGCUUGCUGGGUCGUUUCUGACGCUCAUGCACGAAAGCUAGGGGAGCAAACAGGAUUAGAUACCCUGGUAGUCCUAGCUGUAAACGAUGGGUACUAGGUUCCGGGAUUCCUGAUGAUUUCGGAGCCGCAGUUAAUGCGUUAAGUACCCCGCCUGGGGAGUAUGGUCGCAAGGCUAAAACUCAAAGGAAUUGGCGGGGGCUCACACAAGCGGUGGAGCAUGUUGUUCAAUUCGAAGCAACGCGAAGAACCUUACCUGGGUUUGACAUGCAGGAAGUAGAACCCUGAAAGGGGAACCACCGGUAUCCAAUCCGGAACCUGCACAGGUGCUGCAUGGCUGUCGUCAGCUCGUGUCGUGAGACGUUGGGUUAAGUCCCGUAACGAGCGAAACCCUUGUCGUCUGUUGCUACCAGGUAAUGCUGGGCACUCUGACGAGACUGCCGGUGUUAAACCGGAGGAAGGUGGGGACGACGUCAAGUCAUCAUGGUCACUUACAUCCAGGGCUACAAACGUGCUACAAUGGCGAGUACAGAGAGACGCGAGA
RNAcentral lists this ribosomal RNA (1129 nucleotides) under uncultured organism. Its description in RNAcentral is "bacterial SSU rRNA". It matches the Rfam family "Bacterial small subunit ribosomal RNA", at positions 151 to 1254 of the family's 1533-position model. The record is from RNAcentral.